UUACCGUGAAAAAAUUAGAGUGUUCAAAGCAGGCAGAUCCAAUUUUCUGCCACCGAAUACAUUAGCAUGGGAUAAUGGAAUAGGACCCUGUCCUCCUAUUUUCAGUUGGUUUGCCGCGAGGACCAGGGUAAUGAUUAAUAGGGAUAGUUGGGGGCAUUAAUAUUUAAUUGUCAGAGGUGAAAUUCUUGGAUUUAUGAAAGAUUAACUUCUGCGAAAGCAUCUGCCAAGGAUGUUUUCAUUAAUCAAGAACGAAAGUUAGGGGAUCGAAGACGAUCAGAUACCGUCGUAGUCUUAACCAUAAACGAUGCCGACCAGCGAUUAGGAGACGUUGAAUACAAAACACCACCAUGCGCAUUGCGGUCGUCUUUGGUGUCGC
Molecule: ribosomal RNA, 376 nt
Filed under: Acanthamoeba genotype T3
Lineage: Eukaryota; Discosea; Longamoebia; Acanthamoebidae
Description: SSU rRNA
Rfam family: Eukaryotic small subunit ribosomal RNA
Source: RNAcentral